This 252-nucleotide ribosomal RNA is filed under the name uncultured bacterium. RNAcentral's name for it is "partial 16S ribosomal RNA". It matches the Rfam family "Bacterial small subunit ribosomal RNA", at positions 524 to 775 of the family's 1533-position model. The record is from RNAcentral.
UACGUAGGGUGCGAGCGUUAAUCGGAAUUACUGGGCGUAAAGCGUGCGCAGGCGGUGAUGUAAGACAGUUGUGAAAUCCCCGGGCUCAACCUGGGAAUUGCAUCUGUGACUGCAUCGCUAGAGUACGGUAGAGGGGGAUGGAAUUCCGCGUGUAGCAGUGAAAUGCGUAGAUAUCGGGAGGAACACCAGUGGCGAAGGCGACUACCUGGCCUGUUCUUGACGCUGAGGCGCGAAAGCUAGGGGAGCAACGGG